CCCUUAGAUGUUCUGGGCAGCACGCGCGCUACAAUGGUCUUCGCAAACGGAUGCAUUCUCGAAGGAGAAUGCCAAUCUUGGAAUCUAUGCCUUGGUCGGGACAGUUGCUUGCAAUUUUUCGACUCGAACCAGGAAUUCCUUGUAAUCGUGAUUCAUCACAUCACGAUGAAUACGUCCCUGCCCUUUGUACACACCGCCCGUCGCUCCUACCGAUCGAAGAGUUAGGUGCAUUGUUUUGAUCGAUAAGAUUUGACUAUGGUUAACUCUCGUUGUGAAAUUCUGUGAAUCUGACUGUUUAGAGGAAGGAAAAGUCGUAACA
RNAcentral lists this ribosomal RNA (319 nucleotides) under uncultured eukaryote. RNAcentral's name for it is "partial 18S ribosomal RNA". It matches the Rfam family "Eukaryotic small subunit ribosomal RNA", at positions 1470 to 1796 of the family's 1831-position model. The record is from RNAcentral.